UAGGUGGCGGUAUGCACCUAAAAGUUGUUUGCAAUCCGCCAUUAACUAAGAGAAGAAGAAGAAGAACGAUCAUUAGUGACAGAAUCAUCAGCCAAUCAAAUGUUGACUUUCAAUCAUCAAAGGCAUCACGCCAUCUGGGUCUAGCGACGUGCCCAGUCUUGUCCCCAGGCAGCGUGAAAGAGAAAUUCAUCGCAAGGAAAAUAACAACCGCAGUCACCGGCGCCUACUCCAGAUCUUGUUGCCAAUUUACUCUUUUGCAGACGCAGGAAAACUAACAGAGAAAGGAAGACCUACUGCACCGAAACUGGAUUCGGUAACAAAAGCCAGCAAAGGUUUUGUCCGCCAUUUCAAAUAUGUAUCUAGGAGUGCUAUGAGUGGCUAACAGCUAGCACUGAGCUGAACAAGUUAUUUUGUUGGCUGUGUUUACUUUUUAUAUGAGUAAAGGGGCAUAGAUUGACAGACACACGGACUUUAUCUACAAGUGAAAGCUAUAACCUAGAGAGCAGCAUAUAGUUCCAAUCAAUGGUGGCCCUCUGCAGUGUUAUGGACACUCUCUGGCUCCUCACAAGAUGUCUCUGUGGUGCUAUAUUACUGAUGGCGUCCGUCUGCAUAUCUGACCUAGCCUGUGGAGGGUGACCUUCAGACCAACUGUUCCAUCCCAUAAGCUAAACUCUCUCACAC
This is a long non-coding RNA of Carassius auratus (goldfish), 681 nucleotides long. RefSeq lists it as uncharacterized. The record is from RefSeq and is a predicted model, not a curated record. Lineage: Eukaryota; Metazoa; Chordata; Actinopteri; Cypriniformes; Cyprinidae. The transcript is spliced from 3 exons.